This 431-nucleotide long non-coding RNA is filed under the name Phoenix dactylifera (date palm). Its description in RNAcentral is "long non-coding RNA (PDAC_LNC008952)". Lineage: Eukaryota; Viridiplantae; Streptophyta; Magnoliopsida; Arecales; Arecaceae. The record is from RNAcentral.
CUUUCCAUGCCUCCUCUUCUUUCUUCCUCCACGGCAGCAAAGGGUCUUCAUCCUCCUCUUCUUCCACGGUAGCAAGGCAAGGAAGAUCCAUGUGCAAGGUUCCUCCUUCCUCUUCCUCCAUCGCAAGCAAGGUUGAAGAAGAAAGGAUUCUUCUUUAAGGAGGUAUAUUGCAGAUUUUUAUCUUCUAAUCUAUAUGAUAGUCAUGAAAGGUCUUUGCAAGGAGCUAGCACUCCGGUAAGACCCUAUCUCAGAUGAUUAGAUCCUCGUGUGGAUACCUAUAGAGGCCGGAUAAUUGUGUGGCUCAAACAGGAACCUAGAUAGAUCAUCAGGCUGCGGUGUUCUUCACCUGCAAAAUUUUUGAAGAUGAGAUCUUCAAAUUAAUUUCUUCUGAUUUUAGUUUCAGUUUUAUGAAUCUUAAUCAACCUUCCUCA